AGCCUGAUCGGCCGUAGCAGCCGCUGCCGCGGCGACUCCGCAGCUCCAGGCCCCUUUCCCGUUCCCUGUUCCCCUCCUUUUCUCUCUCCCUCUCACACACUCACACACACUCACACACACGCGCGCGCACGCGCGCGCACACACACUCACUCGCAGGCAGAAGCUGCUGCCCCGCAUUCCUCCCCCUCCUCCCGCGCUGCCCCCAGACGCCCCCGCUCUCCUUCCGGGGGCCCCCCUUCCUUUCUUUUCCCCUCCCCCGUACAAGCCCACCCUGCUCGGGGUCGCCGCGGCGGCCCCACCCCCUCGGGUGCUCAGGCCGCCUCCUCCGGGCAGCUCCCGGUCGGUCUCCCGCAGCGCUGCCCAGUGGGCCCGGGAUCCUCGGCGGAGGCCCUGCAGCUCUCACGACACUGGGAGACGCGGCAGAGCCGGGGGAUCCCCGGACUGCCGCCGCUACCCGGCCUUCACCACACCCCCUCGUCCUCGUCCUGUCCCGUCCCCGCGGGUCCAGGCCCGCUCCGGGAGGCCUCUCCCACGCCCCGCCUGCUCGCUCCCGCCGCCACCUCCCCCGGGCCUGAGCUCCGGCUCCCAUGCCCCCACCCCCACCCGCGGCCCCGGGGGAGGGCUCCUGCGCCGCCCGCCUGGCCUCGCCCGGACGAGGCCUCCCCUUCCUACCUCCAGAGGGCCGCUCACUCCGGCCGGGGCUGUGCGGGGCGCGAGCGGGGUCAGCGUCGCCAGGCCUGGGCCCGGCGACCGCUUCCCAUGAAGCCCCGGCCGCGUCUUCCGCGGGGGCCGCGCGCGGAGGCCCCGCUCCGCCGCGGGGACGACGAGCCGCCACCGGCGGCCUCGACCACGGCCUCCCCGGGAAGGACGACGAUAAGAGCCAAGCGCCGGAGGCCGGGAGAGCCGGGGCGGGAGGCGCGCCCGCCCCUCGAACGACGGCCCACGGCGAGGGGGCGGCGGACGCAGGCGGGACGAGGGCUGGACCACGCUCCUAGGGGGCCGUCUGGCCGCAGACUCCGCGGCGGCGCCUCCUCGCCUGGGGCUCCCGAUCCAUAG
This 1056-nucleotide long non-coding RNA is filed under the name Monodelphis domestica (gray short-tailed opossum). Its description in RNAcentral is "lncRNA (ENSMODG00000037568.1)". The record is from RNAcentral. Lineage: Eukaryota; Metazoa; Chordata; Mammalia; Didelphimorphia; Didelphidae.